AAGUCCUAAGUUGAGAAGGGGGGUUGAGAAAUCAGAAAAAGAGUAUUACCCUUAAAGCCAUCUGCACUGGACACAGGAUACCAUUACUAUGAUUUCUAAAUGAUUUAUCAAUACUAUCAAUGGACAGCUUUGGACAAAACUGCAAAAGAAAGUUUUGAGCCUCCAGAUUCACCAAAAGGGUUUGUGCGUCUAUCAAAAAUGAAAACAUUAAAGCAGGAGUCAGAUGACAGGAACCAUUCAUGGACAGAGCAGUAGUCUUAUGCUGUGUCAAAUACCAAUGUGUAAUGAGUUCACACACUUGUCAUCUGGAGGAAUAAUGUAUCAGGAACCAUGAGGAGAAGCAAUUCUAUCAGGAGCGAGACAUAACUUGCUGUAUUUGAGGUUCCACAUUAUAGGGAAAAUACCAGGUAUUAUUGUCCUAUUGCUGCCACAGAAAGUUUUGCUCUUUUUUUUUUUUUUUUAAUAUUUGAAUUAAGCCCAAACCAAAACCUUGGUAAUGUUUGAAAAGCUAUAGUUUCAGGGGAGGAAAUUUCACAGAACAGCUUCAGGAAGCACAGCGAAAAACCAGGCCCUUUCAGUACUCCAUAGGAGCACCCACUUCUCAUCACUGUCAAGGUGUUGAAUUACUUACUCAAGAGAAGCCCCAGGUUUGUUUCAAAUGCAGCUUUCUCAAAACAUCAUGGGGUUUUACUCCUAGAGAGUCAAGAGAAACAUGGCUAUUUCUGGCUCUCAGAGACAGAAUUACUAUCAGUUACAGAGAAAAGUGAAAAUACUCUAGGCUUCCAACUCUGCAUUUUUCAAAAACAGUAAAGGAAUAAGCAUAGGAAAUAGAGACAUUUUAUUUAAUAUUUGUAGAGGAAGUUACCCAUUCUCUUUGGCUGAUUGGUAACUGAAAAGCUACUGGCAAGGGUUCAGUAUAGUUCAAAUUAGGUUUUUUAUGGGAUUAAUCAAAGUAUUACCUUGAUAGUUAGUGUUCUAAAAACAAAUUUCAGAAGUAUGAGAAAAAAAAUCGUUCAGUUACACAUACUGACUGCCAUAUUUUAUCAAUUAUCAGAAAUGCUUUAACUAAGAGAGAUCUAGUUUAAAGUAAUAAAUUUUUUCUAGAUUGAAGCCAAGAUGGCAUAGCUACAAUGUUUAGAUAACAUGGACUCAAUCAAGAACCAUCCCAUUAAAGGCUGACCUGUGUAAUUAUAGUAAAAGCAAAUUCUUUCUACCAGCAUCUUCUAUUGCUCAGACUUUUCUUGUCGUUUAAUACUAAACUGGAACAGUAAAUACAAAAUCUCACAAGAUCUCUCAAAAGGCAAAAAUAAAACUUAAAUAUAUGUCAUCAGUAUCAGAAACCAAGAAAAGAAAAGUACUUCUUUUUUAAUAACAAACAUGUUACCUAUCUGUAGAAACACUGCAGUUCUUUAUUGAAGGCAAUGGUUAAUUGAAAAUACUGAGCUCAACUCUAUCAUUUCUGCUAUGAAAAAUAUUAUUUUCUAGACGAGAACUAUAACUGAUGACAUCACAGAAUAUUCUGAGUUGGAAGGGACCCCCAAGGAUCAUCGAGUCCAACUCUCCAGUGAAGGGCCCAUACAGGGACUGAAUCCACAGCCUUGGUGUUACUGGCACCCUGCUCUAACCAACUGAGCUACACCAGGCUCCCACAGGAGCUCAGCCAAGUCUUAAACUUUACAUUUCCUGCAAUACAGUUCAAGUCUAUUUUAAAUCAGUGUAUUAUGAAGGAUCUAGUUGGCCACCUGCUUAUCUUGCUACACCAAGCAACAAUGAAAAGAAAACUGUGGAAAAAAGGAAAAAAUAAUUGCGUAUUUAUAAUUUCAACUCUUACAUCUGUGAGAUGUAAUUCAAAAUUCAAAUAUUUUCCUAGAGGCAGGGGGAUAUAACACAUAUUUGUGACAAGAAUCACAUAAAUUAGUUUUAAUAUCUUUUAGCUGCUUUUGUUGUUAAGAGCAGCUGGAUCUGCAAAUACAUUUGGUUCAUAUCUGAAUUCUAUAGAUAUAGCUCUAGAAAUGCAGUGAUGAUUUACAUGUCUUUGGUUUUUAGUACAUCUCCCACUCAAAUAUAACAACAAGCAGGAGAAAAUGCUUUUAUGUUUUGGAUGAACUCUUAAGAUGAUUUGAACUUGUCUGUAUGUGAAAUUACUCUAGAAGCCUAGACCAUUUUCACUCACCUUUCAGCUUAAGAGGAGUGUCAUCGUAUGCCAUCAUCACCUGGAGGCAGGGCUACCAAAUUUCUCUUGAGUUUCCAAGAGGAAAUAACCCAAGCUGCUGGGUGAGCAAGCAAUAGGAAAGGAAAAUACUUUGUGAAACCAAAAGUUUAAAAUAAAUCAAUAAAUAAAAGCAUUGGCUCUUAAAGCAAGAAAAGCUGCUGCAAAAUAGAAAACUACACCUUGACUCUAGUGAUGUAAUUAAGCCUUUUUUUACAAUUCCAUUUAACAAUUUAACAAAUUGUUUUGCUCCACUGGCCACUGCAAAAUUUGUGGCAUCAGUCAGGAAAAAGGCAAUGUGUGUGCUGGAGCUGUAUCUUAAAUGUGGUUUUCUUGUUUGUUUGUUUUUGAAUUAGUAACAUUAACUUUAGGGAUUUUUUUCCUUCUCACUACAUUUCCUACCUGCCUGAUUGCCCUGAUGACUUUGCUUGGCCAGGCAGAUCUUCACUGACAGGAGAUAUUAUGUCAAAUUGGAUGGGAGUGUCAGGGGCAACAAGGGAAUCCAAGGAAAGUGCUGAGAGAGUUGCUGAGUCAGAUCCCAGUGACCCUGAGCUGCUGGUACGAGCUGCAGGAGGACGAGAUUGUCUACAACGAAAUCAAAAAGGCAAAGUUAGGUAGCUCUGAAAAACAGCUGUGGGACUUCCUUAGAGGCACAGCUCCCUCCUGUGGACAAUGAGCUGCACAGAAUCCAGAAGCUCCUUCCAGAGGUAUUUUGGUUAACAGAGUGUUUUGCCUUGUUUAGAUCAAAAUGACAAUGUUUUAUUAGUAAUUUGAAUCCCCAAGCUUUAACAGACACUUCUAGAACAAUCCUGAUAGAUGGAUCUUGUUACUUCCCAGUUAGGAUGCAGAAAAUUACACUCUCAAACCCUUUUUUUUUAACUGUGAAAAUUCAGUAAAAUUUAGACUAACAUCAGGAUAAUUAUGCUUUGCACCUGAAUGAGAUUAUAUCAGUGUAACAAUGAAUUUAAUACUAACUAGGUGAAGAAGGCCAAAGAAAAAAACAGACUAGCUCUUAUGUGACUUAUUCAGCUAAAUUUAUAAAACCAGCAUAGCUAACAUCUAAAAAAUUUUUCUAGCUUCUUUAGCUUUCUUUUCCCCAAAUUAAAUACUCUGGAAUUUUUAAAUAACAAGUUACUCUUACUUUCUUGCAUUGAGAUAGCCAGCUUUCCGUGUCAGGUUCCUAUGGGCAGGAAAUUUGGUAGGAUCAGGAUCAGGCAAAUACAGUGGAUCACUGGCUACUUCCAAGUCCUCUAUAGUUUGUUGCAUGUUUUCUACUUCACAAUCCAUUUCCCUGCGAACACUAAGAUAAAAAAUGUGUUAUUAACAAAGAUAAUUUAUUAAGAAGUAGAAAUAGAAAAAAACAAUUUUCAUAAAAGUUCAAAAUUCAACGAAGCCAACUUACUUCUGUACACUUGUGCCAAUAUUGGUCAAAAAUUCUUCCAGUUGCUCAGUAAGAUUUUCUGAACCCAUUUUAAAAAAGCUUAUCUUUAAAGAAACAAGGAUGAAAAGGGAGAAUUUAGUCAUUAAUAAAACUACACUAACAAUUAACAGAUGAAGUCAUAGGAGACUGAAGUUUCUCAGAGAAAUCUGUUUUCAUCCCUCAUUCCCAUCAAAGCCUCUUACUAAAAGCAGCAGAAUGUGUGUUUGUGGCUGCAGGGGAAGGCUACUGCUGGCACUGCAGUGGCAUUUGUGUCACAAGGACAUGAACAGAGCUGCCUGGAGGAAAUACAGAAGCACACAGGAACUGCCCUGGAAACACUCCCAAGGUCUCUCUGUCCUUUUUCAAUGUCACCAUUCUGCUAAAUCUUGUUAUGGGGGGGGUUAUUUGGGGCACAUAGGAGAGAACCUGUGAGGAUUUGUCCAGGGCCAUCGACAGGGAACUAACAAUAUGUAUUUUAAGCACAGAGUACUCCAUAAUGGGCCAGAAAAUCUGCCACAGCUAAAUUGAGGUUACAACAGGAAGCCCUGGGACAUGGCCCUGCCCUUCUGCUUCUUAGAACCAAAGCACCAGGUUGCACUUACUUUACUGCACAAAACAUGCAGAACUUGGCUCUUAAAUACAAGCUGCAAAGUUUCAAAAGAAAGCAAGAGUUCUUGCCUUUGGAAAGCUUUCAGACAGUGUGCAGAAGUUGAUUUCUACUUAGGUCACUGUAGCAGUGCCAGAUGCUGGAACGCUUGACUUGCAAAAAAACCCAAAGCUCAUGCUUAAUAACUUACUUCCAAAAAUACAAAUUAAGUCUGUCCAAAUAACUUUAUCAUAGUUCUAGUUUCUGUUGCACCCAUCCUCAAGUAAACCAAUCAUGUACUUACUAAUAUUAAGCAAAACCAAAGCAGAAAGUUUUUUAGCAUUCUGGCUCUUCCACAGUCUUGACUGAAAACAGUAGUUUUGUGGCUUUUGAUGAGUAUCUCAUUUCAGAACAGCUGCCAUAGGAAUGAGUUUAACUGUCUCCAUGUUAUUUGCUGAGAAGCUUCACUUCUACGUGCACUUGCAUGAAAGCUCUAAUUAGUUCCUCCAUUUGGUGGAAUCAAGUGCCCAGCAGUGAAAAUCUAGGGACUGCAUCAAAUCCAGCCAUCUGAGUUUUGGGGAAAAAUUAACCUUUAUAUUUGUCACCCAGACUUUGCUAGAAGACUCUGUGAUGGCAGUGAGGGCAUGUCAUGAAGAGAUUCCUGCAGUGAGUGGGCCAUGACCAGUGCUAACUAAUGGCACCAUCAGGGCAGCAGCUGUGGCAGCUCAGAGAAGUGGAUGAGUGGGUCUUUUUCUCCAUUUCCUUCCUUGGACUGCAGAAGAGGGCUUGCAAUGGAUUUCAGUACAUCAAACUUCAUGAAGUACUUUUAUUUCUUCUUUCAGACCUACAGCUUUCAGAAUCUGAAAUUACCUGAGCUUGCAUGUAUCCUAGCAAGGGUUCUAGCAGAGAAAUUUUCUUUUUGUACUGGAGAGUAUUUAAUGCACAGAAAUAAUGCAUCAUAGUCUGAUGCUGUUUUUUCCUUGAAGUAUAUACAUCUUCUGUAACUUCAGCCUUGAUCUGAAGAGACACAGACAAGGGGAGGAAAAAAAGGAAAGUUUGAGAUUGACAUUGAUCACAUGCUUCUGGACAGCUUUAUAGCCAGCAUGGAAAAACCCACAGUCAUGUUCUACCCUCUAUCACCAGCUGCUGCAUAAUUUACUAUUCUACUUCUCUAAUUUAAACAUGAGAUAUGUGAAAAACAAAUACAGCAUCAUUUUCUACCUGGAAA
Non-coding RNA from Taeniopygia guttata (zebra finch), 5443 nucleotides. Lineage: Eukaryota; Metazoa; Chordata; Aves; Passeriformes; Estrildidae. The record is from RefSeq and is a predicted model, not a curated record.